Molecule: small RNA, 235 nt
Filed under: Paenibacillus jilunlii
Lineage: Bacteria; Bacillati; Bacillota; Bacilli; Caryophanales; Paenibacillaceae
Description: BsrG
Rfam family: BsrG
About the family: bsrE, bsrG and bsrH pair through intermolecular interactions with antisense sRNAs.
Source: RNAcentral
UACAAUGGCAUAAGGGCGGUCGGCUAAUCUCCCGGAAGGGAGGUGAGGCCAAUGGAGGUAUACCAAGCACUGACGCUGAUGAUUUCAUUUGCGGCUUUGGUUGUGUUGAUUUUAUCCUUCAACAAAAAAAAGUAGACCGCCCCGUCCAAGGAUAGCGGUCUACUUCUGACCAAACUCCGAAAGCCAACCGCUCUUAUAGCGGAUUGUACAUGGGAGUCGUGUUAGCGCACGGCUC